AUACGUAGGUCCCGAGCGUUGUCCGGAUUUAUUGGGCGUAAAGCGAGCGCAGGCGGUUAGAUAAGUCUGAAGUUAAAGGCUGUGGCUUAACCAUAGUACGCUUUGGAAACUGUUUAACUUGAGUGCAAGAGGGGAGAGUGGAAUUCCAUGUGUAGCGGUGAAAUGCGUAGAUAUAUGGAGGAACACCGGUGGCGAAAGCGGCUCUCUGGCUUGUAACUGACGCUGAGGCUCGAAAGCGUGGGGAGCAAACAGGAUUAGAUACCCUGGUAGUCCACGCCGUAAACGAUGAGUGCUAGGUGUUAGACCCUUUCCGGGGUUUAGUGCCGUAGCUAACGCAUUAAGCACUCCGCCUGGGGAGUACGACCGCAAGGUUGAA
Molecule: ribosomal RNA, 376 nt
Filed under: uncultured bacterium
Lineage: Bacteria
Description: bacterial SSU rRNA
Rfam family: Bacterial small subunit ribosomal RNA
Source: RNAcentral